Molecule: long non-coding RNA, 8843 nt
Filed under: Citrus sinensis (sweet orange)
Lineage: Eukaryota; Viridiplantae; Streptophyta; Magnoliopsida; Sapindales; Rutaceae
Description: long non-coding RNA (CSIN_LNC003349)
Source: RNAcentral
UCAUAUACAGGAGACCAGUCAGCCAUCUUGAUGAAGUACAAGCUCCACCACAUUCAAAUCAUGUCUCAAUAAGUUUAAAAAAAAAAUCAAAGCAAAUGAUACUCCAAUUUAAAAAAAAUAAAUAAAUAAAUAAAAACUCAUCACACGUUGAAUUGAGAUCUUAGGUUAUUGGUAUGCCAACUUCAGAUCACCCUACACUUUCACAUUGCCAGACCAAAUGAAAAACUAAAUAUUGCCAGAAAUUAUAGUUAAAUUUCCAUCACCAGCCACCGAAAGAGUACAGAAGUUUGACAUAACUCACAAUUUCUCAAAACUUUCAGGAAGUUGGACAUUCAGAUUCAAAGGAACCUGCGAUGAGGAUCUUUUCAUGGAACCUGAAGAGCGCACCAAGUAUUUUGCUUUUUCUUCAGAGGUGGGCCAAUACUCCAUGCCUCUGCGAUUUGUAAUCCAUAGGCAUGAUCCAGCUUUACUCUCGUCAGUAAUAAGCUCAAAAGCACCUAAAAGAAAAGAUAUUUGGAAUAUCAGAUAAUAGUUUCAAAACAAAGGGGCAGGGGAGGCUCAAAGGUUAAAUGAGCAUUGAUCUCAUGUGUUCAUUUUUUUUCCUUUUUUCCCUCAAAAUGUAUUUUAGUGAAAUUUCAUUGGCAUCAAUUGUUUUCUUAUUGUUAACAAAUAAUGUAUCUGGCAUUCCAGUACACAUCCAAACAAGGAUAAAGUGCAUAAAGUUGACAACCUGCAGGGGUCUAAUGAAAUUGCAAGCCAGAUUUAUUCAUCCUUCUUCUCAAGAAAAAGGAAUAAAAGAGAAAGAAAAAGGUAUAUUCACUCUGCACCUGAAGCUGAUAUUUUUUGUACCCAGCAAGAGUAAUUUAAGUUCAUUUUAAUGAGUCUUUGUUGUUCAGAUUUCAGACAAUUCAAGCCUUACAAUUUUCCACUGCAUAAGGAUGUUGUACUAGAGACUUCUCAUAAAUUUUGGAACAGCAAAGUAACUCGAACUAUUAGUGCCACAUCAGAUUUAAACAUUUGAAGAGUAAUACCUUUCACUACCAUUUCCAUAGGUACAAAGCCCCCCAUCAGAUCAAUAAAUUUGGAGCCCACCUUUAAUCCCAUCUCAGUUUGAACAAACUGCAAACAAGAAUUCACAGUGAAACUAGUUCAGACUGGCCCAUUUUCAAAAUGUUGGCUAAAUAUCACACUAGAGGACAUCCGGAAUGCUUCAAAUGGAAUGAUACCUCAGGGCAAAGCACAUUGAUGCGAAUUCCCUUGCGUUUGUAGGGAGUAAGUGAUCUAGUAAAUAAAACAACACCACCUAUGGGGAAAAAAAAAUUGUUACAAGAAUCAAAUUCUACAUUACAAAAAGAUACUUGUGCAUGUGUAGGUAUCUUUCCUUUUCUAACUGACAUCAAAUGAACAUAAGGUAAUCUAAAUGAGUGCCCGAAAUAAAAUCAGUGACACAAUGUAGUACAACCAUCAAACCUUUGGAAGCAGAGUAGAUAGGAUCAUUGUACAUUGGAUAAAGACCUGCAGAAGAUCCCAUAUUUAUAAUCACUCCAGGCUUUUUUGCAGCUUGCAUAAUUCCAAUCUGUUAUGAUAAAAUGUACUCAUAAUCACCACUCACUCUCUUCCAAAUAGCAAAUUAAAAUAGCAAAUUAAAAGGACAAACAUAAAUCCAUCUCUUGAAACUUUUAACAUCUUGAAGUUGUGAAGUACAUUCUUUUGUUCCGCAACGAGGAGAGUGCAACUUAUCAAACAUACGUUGUGCAGUUAGCUUAUAGACAAUCAUGCACACCCAAAAAUGGGGAAAAAAAAUCCUCUAAAAUUUGCUAAUGGCAGCAGGCAAAGCAUUACCAGAAAAAGAAUCCACUUUGUAUAUCAAAAAAAUUCACACAAUAAUUACUUACUUUGUGAAUAGACUAUAGUUAGAAGUUUUUUGAAUCACAUGGAUAAUUUAUGUGGCCUGGGGACAUCUUAAGGCUGUACUAAACUCUGACAUUAACAGCUUAUCAAGAAGUGUUCAACAGAUAUUAACCUCAUCAACAAUGUCAAACAAACCAUGGCAAUAAGUUGAGUAAGAGCAACCAAUAAGUUAAGUAAACCAUGAAGGCAAGUCAAAUUUUAAGCAUACAGCUUUCUGAGUGCAAUCAAUAACUGCAAUCAAGUUCACAUCAAGAGUGAAUCUCCAUGAACGUGUGCCAUCAGUUUGAUCCUUUGGGAAUGGAAUAGGAUUACUUAUCCCAGCACCGUUGAUACAUAUAUCCAAUCCUCCAUAUGUAGCUACGUGCUUCUCAAAAGCAGCAGCUGUAUCUCCUGUUCAUUGAAUAUGAUGAAUACACAUAACUAUCUGAAAACAUAAGUUGCACGUUGAGGAGAACAAGAAGAAAACAUGUCCAGAAAUUGAUGCUCUUUACUAUCAAUAAGUGAGAUGCAAAUCUGUUUGAUGGAUUACUUGUAAACUUAUCUAGUAACAAUACAAGAAAUGAUUGGAUAUGCAAAUUCUUGCAAAGCAACGCCAUAUUAAGUUAAAAAAAAUGUUCUGUUUCCCAUUAAAACCACAACAUAAUACAACAGAUAAGUAAAUAACUAAAAUAUGUAAUAUAAAAAUCGUUAAAAUUCAUUUUUUGAAAUCCCCUCUUUCACAGCCUCAGAAAAGCCAAUGCAAACUAUGAACUAGGAAAAGUGAAAAAGUACAAAACGAGAACAGUCCGGUGUCGACAAAUAAGUAAAUAUAAGCAAACUUACUUGUGUUAGCCACAUCACAUCUUAUAAACGUAGCAGAUGGAAAUCCUAAGUUUGAAUAAAACUUAGCAUUCUCUUUUUCAACAAGCGCUGCAACUUCCUUUCCCUUUUCUUCAGAGAAAUCAACAACUGUCACAAAGACUCCCUUCCCUGCAAGAGCUAAACUCAAAGCUCUACCUGCAAAAUAUACACCAGCAUUGACAAAAUCCGCAAAUUAUAUACUAUCCGUCACAACAAUUCAAAUUUCAAUAACUUCCCUUACAUAUGAAUAAAAUCAUUUUAGGCUAUCUUCAGAAGCCUCCGAUUGAUGAGAGUAACUACUAACUACUCAUAGGACAUAUCGUAUACAAGAAAAAUAAGCAUAUAGUGGAUUAUUAAUGAUUAGAAAAUCCCAAAAACGCAAACCCAGAUUCUAGAAUAUCCAAAGGAUCUAAAUUUCAAUAAGAAACAACCAAAGACACAACACCACCUAUCAAGUGCUAAACAAAACACAAUCAAUACACAAACACGAACCCAGUAUAGGAAUCAGAAUUGGGUACUUAAAUGCAAGAAAAAGAAAAUCAAAAGUCUCGAAGUUUUUACCAAUCCCAGAUGCACCGCCGGUGACCAAAGCUGAUAAGCCCGGCUUGAGCUCCAUUUUAUGAACAGGCAGAGAGUCAAAGGGAAGCGAUUAAACUACUCGGUUAAGAGUUUUCUUAUGUGAGCGGGCUUUUACUGUCCCUUUUUCCGGGUAUUUAUUUGUAACAUACUGAAAUUUGUUGUUACUCUAAAUUGCCAAAUGAAGGGGUGAUGUUAUCAAGACGGCUUCCCAUAUCUCUCGCCGGACCACAAUUUGCGCGGCACUGGGGUCACCUCAUUUUCCGUAUUUGUUUGUUUACACGUGCAAAUAAGAGUGAAUUGCAUGGGAUAUACCAUGUUUCCCUCAUAAUACCUAAAAUAUACCUCAAUCCAUUAAAAUCUAUAACUUUAUACAUACAUACUUAAAAAAAUUAAGAAAAAAAUAAAAAUAACCUUAAUAAAAUACUAAUAAAAAAUUAAUACUCGACUCAUUCAAUCUACGUACUCGACUAGAUACUCGAUUUAUUCAAUUACCUUUACUUCUUACUCGAUUGAACGCUCAACUUACCAGACUUCAUACUUGACUUCGUACUCGACUAGAUACUCGACUUAUUCAAUUACUUUUACUUCUUACUCAACUGAAUACGUAAUUUACCAGACUUCAUACCCAACUUCAUAAAAUGCUCAACUUACCAAACUUCAUACCCGACUUCGUACUCGACUUAUUCAAUUGCAUUUACAUCUUACUCGACUGAAUACUCAACUUACCAUAUUUCAUACCCAACUUCGUACUCGACUAGAUACUAGACUUAUUCAAUUGCAUUUAUUUUUUACUCGACUGAAUCGUACUCGACUAAAUACUCGACUUAUUCAAUUUCCUUCACUUCUUACUCAAUUAAAUGCUCAACUUACCAGACUCCAUACUCAACUUCGUACUCGACUAGAUACUCGACUUAUUCAAUUGCAUUCACUUUUUACUCGACUGAAUGCUCAACUUACCAAACUUCAUACCCGACUUCGUACUCGACUUAUUCAAUUGCAUUUACAUCUUACUCGACUGAAUACUCAACUUACCACAUUUCAUACCCAACUUCAUACUCGACUAAAUACUCGACUUAUUCAAUUGCAUUCAUUUUUUACUCGACUGAAUGCUCAACUUACCAAACUUCAUACCCGACUUCGUACUCGACUUAUUCAAUUGCCUUCAUUUCUUACUCGACUGAAUACUCAACUUACCACAUUUCAUACCCAACUUCAUACUCGACUAAAUACUCGACUUAUUCAAUUGCAUUCAUUUUUUACUCGACUGAAUGCUCAACUUACCAAAUUUCAUACCCGACUUCGUACUCGACUUAUUCAAUUGCCUUCACUUCUUACUCGACUGAAUACUCAACUUACCAUAUUUCAUACCCAACUUCGUACUCGACUAGAUACUCAACUUACCAUACUUCAUACCCGACUUCGUAUUUGACUAGAUACUCGACUUAUUCAAUUGCAUUCACUUUUUACUCGACUGAAUGCUCAACUUACCAAACUUUAUACAAAAAGAAUAUUUUGAAUUAUCGAAUCAAAGUAACUGCUGUACGGCCAAGGCGGAUGUACGGUACAGCAGCUUACUCGACUGAAUGCUCAACUUACCAUACUUCAUACCCGACUUCGUACUCGACUAAAUACUCGACUUAUUCAAUUUCCUUCACUUCUUACUCAAUUAAAUGCUCAACUUACCAGACUCCAUACUCAACUUCGUACUCGACUAGAUACUCGACUUAUUCAAUUGCAUUCACUUCUUACUCGACUGAAUGCUCAACUUACCAGACUUCACUUUUUUAAAAAUAUUAAUACUCGACUCAAUAUACUUACCCGACUUAAUGCUCGACCUCUUUAAAAAUUACAUUUUACUUGACUUGUUCAAAAAUUUACUUGACUUUUACUUAAUACUCGACCACUUAAUACUCGACUCAUUUAAUAUGCUUACUGGACUUCUUAUUAGACCAUAUACUCAACUUACUUAUCUCCAAUUCUUACUCGACUAAAUUCUCGACUUACCCAACUUCGUACUCGACUUCUUCCUGCAAUGAGAGGAAGAAAUGUGUGGAUUCUUUAUUUUUUUAAGGUUAUUUUUUACUUUUUCUAUCUUCGUGAGGUAUAUGUAUGUAAUAGGAUAUACAUUUAGUAUUUAAAGGUAAAUUAGGGAUAUUUAAAUAAAAAAACCUUGCAAAUAAUUUGAUGAUUCUUUCCUUUAAUGGCAGAGCCAGGCAGUGUCACAGUGACAAGUACGUUUCGUCAUCUAGCCUCUAACCAUUAACCAACAUCCGCUAAACAAAUACCAGUAGAUUACACAAGAAGAAUCCUCAUUUUCCCUAAUUGUUUGUUUAUACUUGUAAAUAAUUUGAUGAUUGUUUCCUUGAACGUCAGAGCCAGACAGUGAUUCCAAAAAUAAUAUCAGCACUCUGCUAAGUUACAUAAUCUCUAAUUUACAGACCUAGCUUUAAUACCAAAUGCAUGCGCUCCCUCAUUCUUGCGGGACACGUGUAAUCAUCCCAUUUGAUGUGUAAGUAACAUAAUCUGUAACAUAUCAAGAUCCCAGGCCCAGCUAUAUAAUUAUUUGGAUUGGAACGCCACCUUAUAGUUGUACUGAUUUGAUCUUGUUGGAGUUGUCAGUAUUUUUGUCUAGACAUGUUUUGGACUUUUCUUUAUCUCAUUUGGCCAUAUCUGUGUAACGUGAUUUGAAAUAGGUUUUGGUAUUGUUGAUUUUAGUAGCGUAGGGUAAUCUUAAUUAAAAUAAGUAUCUCUAAAGGAAUAUUUAAUUGGUUGGUCUCUUGCCAUUGACUUCAGAAGUUAAUCAAGGGUGCGUUUUGGCAGCUGGAAUUACACUGAAUUUGCAUUGGAUUAACUUAUUAUUCUUGUACUAAUCUAUAUUUACCAUUUGGCUACAAUUUUUUAUUGCAUUGAAAGGUGUACAAAAUUAACCCAUGAGCGGUAGAGUUUAGGGUGUAUUGCAUUAAAAUAUUAUUCAUAUUUUAAAUGUAUUUAUUUAACUUUUAUUUUUAUUUAUUAAAUGUUAAAUUAUGGUUAGAUUUAAAUAAAAAAAAUUAAUUUAAGCAAUAAUAUAAUAAAUUAAUAAACCUAAACAUUCAAUAACUAAAUGAUAAUGCAUUAUUUUACUUUCAUUACAUAAAAUCAUUUUAAUUAUUUUACAUUAAAUAUGUAAAAAGUAUUUUAAUUUUAUUUAAUCAUUUAUUAUUUAUUAAAAUGCUAAAUUGAAAAAAAAAUUAAACAAUUAUAUUUGACAUUAAUAAAUAAAAAUAAAUUUAUAUUUUGAUAUUAUGUUGUUUUAUAAUAGUUUUUAACUUAUAUUAUACCCGUACAGCAGAAUUUAAUAUUUAGUUUAAAAAAUUAUUAAUAAAAUCCUAAAAUAUUAAUAAAUUUAAAUAAUAUUAAUUUAAUUUUAAGAUUAAUAUAGAAUAGUAUUAAUUUAUAUAAGACAGUCAAUACCAUACUAAACAUUAUAUUAAAAAUAAUUAUAUAUGAUACACAACAUAGUGCAAUGCAAAUAAUAUAAUGUAAUAUAAUAUAAUGUGUCAAACGUUCUCCAAAUGAAUACACUUAAACUGAAGUACGGAUGGAUUAAGUCAUUGAGGUUAUGCAAGUUGAAAGAAAUAAGAACCCAAAUAAACUUUAAUUUAUGCGGAUUGAUUCAAAUUUUCAUGUAAUUAAAUAUUCCAUUGGAAUUGGAUUAGGGAUAUUAUUUUACUACCUAAUAUAUUUUGAGGGAUAUUAUUUUACUACCUAAUAUAUUUUGACAUAUCAUUUCACCAUUAAAAUUUUUUGACAAUUACUUUUUCUUAUUUAAUGUUUUAGUUUUUAUUAUUUUACUACCAAACCAUUAAAAUUAAUAAAGUUCUUAACGUGAAAUAUAAUAAAAGUUUAUUUUACCCCCAAAUUGAGUAAAUAUAAUUUAACGCAAAUUAAAAAAAAUAAAAAAUUAAUUAUAUACAAAAAUAAUAUUUUCACCAAUUGAUUAUUUAAUAUAUAUAAAAUAACUAAUUGAUAAAAUUAUAAAUAUCAUACCAUAUGAAAUUCCUAAAACAUUGUAUAUAUUGAAAUUCUUAAAAUACUCACGUGAAACUAAUAAAUUAUUAAUAGAGUUCACAGUUUAGUGAUAAAAUAAUAAAAAUCAAAAUAUUAGAUGAAAAAAGUAAUUGUCAAAAAUUUUUAUUGGUAAAAUAAUGUGUUAAAAAAAUAUUAAACAAUAGAAAGAUAAUAUCCCGUUAGAAUAUUUAGGUUAUAACUUUCUCAAUACAAAACUCAAGCCCACAGCCCACAGCCCACAGCCAAUGGCUACGGACGUUGCUUUAAGUUCUUUUAUUCGAAGGAUUGGUAAACCACGUACCGCUAUCAUUAUAAUAAUUGGAACAAGCGAGAUUGGGUGUAAUUUUCAUUUGUUUUCGUCCUUAUCAUGACAUAGCAUCAUCUAUUCAUUUUACGUGUUAGCUUAUUACUCUUGUUUGUUUUAAGUUAAAUAAAAUAUUAAUCCCUUUUUUUGACAUUUGAGGCGAGUUAUAUAAAUAACAAUCCGUUCUUGACAUUUGAAGCAUACUUGUACCAAGAGCAAAGCUUAAACAUUUCAAUUUUUGGCUUUUUUAUUUUGUUUUUUAUUUGUUAAGUUUUAUAAUCUCAAAAUCAAGUUUAUGUUUGGCAUGCAGUAUUGCAUAAUAUUAAUUUGUGGGCUCACAUUAAUUGAAAUAAUUCCGUAUUUGGCAAUUAAAAUGGAUUGCAUUGAUCAGCAUUAACAUUAACAAACUAGAGCCCUUAAUGUAAAGAGAGAAAUCAAACUAAGCCACUCAUAUCGAGGAGACCAGUCAGCCAUCUUGAUGAAGAACAAGCUCCAUAUUCAAAUCAUGUCUCGAUAAGGUAACAAGACAAAAACUCGCAUGAUACUUGCAUAAAUUAAAAAAAAAAAAAACACACUCUUCGCAUAUUAAAUUGAGAUCUUAGGUUAUUGGUAUGCCAGCUUCAGCUCCGCUUUCACAUUGCCAGACCAAAUGAAAAACUAAAUAUUGCCUGAAAUUAUAGUCACCGAAAGAGUACAGAAGUUUUGACGUAGUUCACAGUUUCUCAAAACUUUCAGGAACUCGGACACUCAGAUUCGAAGGAACCUGAGAUGAGAAUCUUUUCAUGGAACCUGAAGAGCUCACCGAGUAUUUUGCUUCUUCUUCAGAGGUGGGCCAAUACUCCAUGCCUCUCCGAUUUGUAAUCCAUAAGCAUGAUCCAGCUUUACUCUCGUCAGUAAUAAGCUCAAAAGCACCUAAAAGAAAACAUGUUUGGAAUAUGAGAUAAGAGUUUCAAAACAAAGGGGACAAACCUGGAGGGUUCUAAUGAAAUUGCAAGCCAGAUUUAUUCGUCCUUCUCAAGAAAAAGUAAUAAAAAGAGAAAGAAAGAGGUAUAUUCACUGUGCACCUGAAGCUGAUAUUUUUUAUACCCAGAAAGAGUAAUUUAAGUUCAUUUUUAAGGAGUCUUUCUUGUUCAGAUUUCAGACAAUUCAAGCCUUACGA